RNAcentral lists this ribosomal RNA (277 nucleotides) under uncultured Alistipes sp. RNAcentral describes it as "partial 16S ribosomal RNA". It matches the Rfam family "Bacterial small subunit ribosomal RNA", at positions 511 to 788 of the family's 1533-position model. Lineage: Bacteria; Pseudomonadati; Bacteroidota; Bacteroidia; Bacteroidales; Rikenellaceae. The record is from RNAcentral.
GCAGCCGCGGUAAUACGGAAGAUGCGAGCGUUAUCCGGAUUUAUUGGGUUUAAAGGGAGCGUAGGCGGGCUGUUAAGUCAGCGGUAAAAUUUCCAGGCCCAACCUGGUCGUGCCGUUGAAACUGGCGGUCUUGAAUGCACACAAGGGAGAUGGAAUUCGUCGUGUAGCGGUGAAAUGCUUAGAUAUGACGAAGAACUCCGAUUGCGAAGGCAGUCUCCUGGGGUGUUAUUGACGCUGAGGCUCGAAAGUGCGGGUAUCAAACAGGAUUAGAUACCCC